GCUUUGUGGGGAGGGCGCUGGGCAUUGCAUGUACUGCUUCCCCCUCACCCUGGGGAAGGGGCUGAGGGCAGGACUGUGUGCUCGGGUUGAGGCACCCGGAGAUCGUCGCAUUCCAGGAAAAGUCUUAGGCUCUGUAGGAGGAAAAAGAAACAGGUUUACACCGUCGUAAUCUUCCUGAUCCCGACCUCCGUCUGCUUCGUGGGACUGAUCCACGCCCCUCAGCAGCUGAGCUCUGGUCUCGGCACUCGAGCUUCCCUUCCGU
Molecule: long non-coding RNA, 262 nt
Filed under: Gallus gallus (chicken)
Lineage: Eukaryota; Metazoa; Chordata; Aves; Galliformes; Phasianidae
Description: lncRNA (ENSGALG00010026790.1)
Source: RNAcentral